RNAcentral lists this unclassified non-coding RNA (566 nucleotides) under Hevea brasiliensis (rubber tree). Lineage: Eukaryota; Viridiplantae; Streptophyta; Magnoliopsida; Malpighiales; Euphorbiaceae. The record is from RNAcentral.
GUUACAUCUAAUUUCCAGUACAAUUGGAAACCAAAAAUGCUCUCAACUAAUUAUGUUUUUCCCCAUGAGAUAAUUAUACUUUUUUUUUUUGGAAUUUGUUGCAAAAUGGGUAUUUUAGAGUGUCAGCUAUUAUUCUUAUUUGCUUGAUACAAUUUUGUGUGCAAGUGAAUACUUUUCUUUUUUUAUCUGUGAGAUUCAAAAAUCAGAUUCUACUCUAAAGUGCAUUCAGUAAUUCAUCCCUCUACUAUGUGUUCCUCGUGUCUCAAAAUUGCUUGAAGGUCUCAGUGAGCUUGAGUAAAAAUCAUCCUGUGACACAAGGCACCCUGUCAAGCCUGAACCUUUUCUGUUUAAGAGAUUGAAUAACAAGUAGCAUGAUUUUUUGUCUAGGUUUUUUUCAGUGAUGAAUUGUAGUUUAACUUGUCUGUCUCAUGUGGAGUAGGGAAAAAUUUAUUUUUCUAAAGUUGGAGUCACAGUUUUCUGUGCAUAAGCAUUCUAUUGGUUCAAUAGUUGGCACUUUUCUGAUCAAGUAGCUUCGCAUUUUGCAUGUGGGGCCAUAUGAUGGACGC